UGCCCCUGCACUAAAUUUUCGCUUCAUAAACAUCAUAGGUCUAGGAUCUCGCCUAAAGUUAACCAAUUGAUUUGGGUUAUCUAGGUAUCUGAACCCUCCACUAGUUUAGAAGACAUCUAGAUAAAGAAAUCCAUAUUGAAGAGAGAAGUCUAGAAAGAUAAAAUUUUAGAGAGAGAAACUCAUAUAGAGAGAAAGUGGAGAGAUAAGGUAGGGAGAGGAG
Molecule: long non-coding RNA, 220 nt
Filed under: Elaeis guineensis (African oil palm)
Lineage: Eukaryota; Viridiplantae; Streptophyta; Magnoliopsida; Arecales; Arecaceae
Description: long non-coding RNA (EGUI_LNC080018)
Source: RNAcentral